AGUCGAACGGCAGCACGGACUUCGGUCUGGUGGCGAGUGGCGAACGGGUGAGUAAUGUAUCGGAACGUGCCUAGUGAGGAUAACUACGCGAAAGCGUAGCUAAUACCGCAUACGCCCUUCAGGGAAAGCGGGGACCUUCGGGCCUCGCACUAUUAAGAGCGGCCGAUAUCGGAUUAGCUAGUUGGUGGGGCUUUAACAGCUCACCAAGGCGAUCCGUAGCUGGUUUGAGAGGACGACCAGCCACACUGGGACUGAGACACGGCCCAGACUCCUACGAGGCAGCAGUGGGGAAUUUUGGACAAUGGAAACCCUGAUCCAGCCAUCCCGCGUGUGCGAUGAAGGCCUUCGGGUUGUAAAAGCACUUUUGGCAGGAAAGAAGCUUGGCACGGGAUAAUACCCCACUGCAACUGACAGUACCUGCAGGAUAAGCGCCGGUAACUACGUGCCAGCAGCCGCGGUAAUACGUAGGGUGCAAGCGUUAAUCGGAAUUACUGGGCGUAAAGCGUGCGCAGGCGGUUCGGAAAGAAGAUGUGAAAUCCCGGAAGCUUAACUUUGGAAUUCAUUUUUAACUACCGAGCUAGAGUGUGUCAGGGAGGUGGAAUUCCGCGAUGUGGCAGUGAAAUGCGUAGAUAUGCGGAGGAACACCGAUGGCGAAGGCAGCUUCUCCUGGGAUAACACUGACGCUCAUGCACGAAAGCGUGGGGGAGCAAACAGGAUUAGAUACCCUGGUAGUCCACGCCCUAAACGAUAUCAACUGGCUGUUGGGGCCUUCCGGGCCUUGGUAGCGCAACUAACGUGAAGUUGACCGCCUGGGGAGUACGGUCGCAAGAUUAAAACUCAAAAGAUUGACGGGGACCACGCAGCGGUGGAUGAUGUGGAUUAAUUCGAUGCAACGCGAAAAACCUUACCUACCCUUGACAUGUCUGGAAUCCCGAAAGAGAUUUAGAGUGCUCGCAAG
RNAcentral lists this unclassified non-coding RNA (958 nucleotides) under uncultured Bordetella sp. RNAcentral's name for it is "partial 16S-23S ribosomal RNA intergenic spacer". It matches the Rfam family "Bacterial small subunit ribosomal RNA", at positions 60 to 1023 of the family's 1533-position model. The record is from RNAcentral. Lineage: Bacteria; Pseudomonadati; Pseudomonadota; Betaproteobacteria; Burkholderiales; Alcaligenaceae.